UUCCUGUAGCUCAGAGCAAGUAGU
RNAcentral lists this non-coding RNA (24 nucleotides) under Cricetulus griseus (Chinese hamster). Lineage: Eukaryota; Metazoa; Chordata; Mammalia; Rodentia; Cricetidae. The record is from RNAcentral.